ACAAAUGCGUAGAUAAAACAGAAACUUUUUCCUCAGAUUCAAAGCAUAACAGCCACAAACAAGUCUUCGUUAUUUAAUUUUAAAACGUCACUUUAGAAUUAGUAACGAAUGAUUGUGCUGCUUCAGUGAAGCUAUUAGUGUGAAUUAAUGAGAUUAUUAUUAAGAAAUAAUAAGGGAGGAUGUGUGUGAAUGAAACAAAGACACUUUAAAUGUGCUGAAUGUGUGCACGUUAUAGUUUCAGUUUGCACGUAGCCAAUCAGAUUCCAGAACCACAUCUGUUCUAUAAACUUAAUUAUUUUGGAUCAUAUGUUUUUAAGUUUUGUCCAUUUUUGUGACUGGAAUACACUGUAAGGACAAAAGGACUGUGACACCCCCUUCUAAUGAAGAGGUUUGACUACUUUAGUAAAUUCUGUGAACACAAAUCUUAAUGCUACAGACAGUUCAGUAUAUUAAUGAGAAUUGUGUGUUUUUAAUUUUAUGGAUAAUAAUUUCAAUAGUAUGGGCAGGACACUUUUCUAUAAUUAUAUUAUAGAUUAAAGAUCAUAUUACAUCAUAAUGCCCAUGUGCACAAAACAAAGUAAAAAAAAGAAAUGAUUAAGAACUUCACUGGUUUGUAUAUAAAGUUAACUAAACCCAGCUACUUUGUUAUGACAAACAUUUACCACCCAUCAAGGUAACCAGAGCACAAAAAAAACUACAAAAUUCAACUGCUUUACGGCAUACAUCACUUCCUCCACACAAUUUGUUUUUAACGUGAAUUUUGCUGGAGGCUUACUUAAGGAAUGUAGAGAGCAGCUUCUAUUAUGUGACUCUGUGGCACAGUCUUUAGUGUCACGGACCUAUGACACGGGCAACCCGGGUUUGAUUCCCCUUUAAGGCAAUUUUUUUAUAUAAACUCUUGAUUCAUACAUAAAUGCGAUGUUCUUUAUAAAUGACGGCGAUUAUCUUGCAUAUAGUUCCCUGUAUUCACAUGCGGUGUUCGCGUAUUUACCUUUCUUUUACUGUGUCUAUGAUAUUUACAUUACAAUCCAGGAUGCAAUAGCAGUCAAACUUGCUCAAACUCACACAGUGUAAAACCAAACCCUUUUCAUUCACCAAUCAGAUCCGAGCGUUUCUCUCUUCUCUCUUCCUCAUUUGCUGCGUUCCGCUGUCACUCGCGUGACGUAUUACAAAGCGGCAGCCUUUAGGUCUGCUUGGACCACAUCGGUUUACUUGGAUUUGGAGCGACAAUUUUCACACAAAAGAGAGAAAAAACGAGCGCCAUUGCGGAAAAUCCUGGUGGCGAGGGAGAGAGAGAGACGAUGCAACAAUAUUUGUUUGGAAAAAGGCAAGGAAAUACUUCUGGUCUUUUCUCAAUUGGAAGGCUGCAGCCUCCGGAGGUCAAAUAUGCAGGCUGCAUACGUCAUCAAGCCUGGUUUAUUAAGGUAAACUGAGCAUUACAUUCGCAAGUCAUAAGCGUACUGCAACAAUUUACGAUUAACUAAGUAUAAUAGUCAACUUUGUAAUUGUUAAUAUUGUGAAAUAAGACAGUCUUGAUGACGUAUACAGCUUAGAAAUACGACAUCUGGAGGCUGCAACCUUCAGAUUGAGACAUGGCUGCUGCCACAACGAGUUCCUCAUCAGAAAGUUGUAACAUGACUGCGUUUCUCCCUGAUGCCUCAAAAUGUUGAUCGUUUAGCGUUUUAAAUGUUUAGUUUUUAGUUUAGUUUUAAGGUUGGCCAGUUCCUUUCCUUUGCGACAGUGCUGCGGCGCUUGUGGGCUCUAGGGGCGCUAGAAGUGAAAAAUACAUGUCUAGCACCCCCUAGUGGCCAAAAAGUUUCAUGGUGUGCCUUUAACUGACUGCCUGUCUGUCUGUUCUCAACCAAACAAUCAUUCAAGACCUUUUAAAGGUAAGUACGAACGCGUCUUUACCAUUGAGGAGGCUGACUGACUUUCAUCUACCAACCGUCAAAAACUAAAGAAAUGUUACUACAAGUGGACCUAUUUAUUUACUCAUCAUGCUGUAAGUACACCACAGUUUUGUCAGUGAAAAUAUAAUAUUUGAGUUUUCUCACUGCUUGGCGUAGACAAAUGUGACCAUGUGUAACGUUAAUUUGGAGAAUACAUGGAAAAAGUGUAUGUCUUAAUGUUUCAAUGUUGUUUGGAUUAAGGGACAGUACAGUGAUUUUGUUUUAAGAUAUUUCUGUUUGGACAGUCUAUUAAAGUCAUAAAGGAAUACUUGAUAUAUUUCAUAAGGACUGUGUAAAUCUAAUAUUAGUUUUAAUGUGAAUUUGGACUGAACAGCUCACUUUUGUUUUGUCUAAAAAAUGUUUGUAAAAUAAAUGAUUGUUCAAUAAACUGUAAUAAUUUC
Misgurnus anguillicaudatus (oriental weatherfish) is the source of this 2350-nucleotide long non-coding RNA. RefSeq lists it as uncharacterized. The record is from RefSeq and is a predicted model, not a curated record. NCBI's taxonomy places the organism in Eukaryota, Metazoa, Chordata, Actinopteri, Cypriniformes, Cobitidae.